CUCUACUUCGAAGCGGUUGAUCUUCCUCGUAGCCUCGAUCAGCUCCAUAUUCAUCUCAGCAACUCGACGAAGGGCGUAGGCUUUAUCAAAUUAGAUAGUGAAAGCUUUGCCCCUCAUUGCCCAAAGCUCCUCUCUGAGGUUCACAAUCUCACGUUAGAGGUCGGCCUCUUUAUGGACAGCUCUUCAAAGGUGAUCAUCUUCCUUAUCUGCAUUGACCUA
RNAcentral lists this long non-coding RNA (219 nucleotides) under Elaeis guineensis (African oil palm). Its description in RNAcentral is "long non-coding RNA (EGUI_LNC022857)". The record is from RNAcentral. Lineage: Eukaryota; Viridiplantae; Streptophyta; Magnoliopsida; Arecales; Arecaceae.